UGGUAAAGAAAGGACUUAAACCAAUGUAAAUAGGACUACAGCCUACUGCCUACCGCUCGGCCACUUACCA
Molecule: transfer RNA, 70 nt
Filed under: Anolis marsupialis
Lineage: Eukaryota; Metazoa; Chordata; Lepidosauria; Squamata; Anolidae
Description: tRNA-Tyr
Source: RNAcentral